Non-coding RNA from Plutella xylostella (diamondback moth), 2548 nucleotides. Lineage: Eukaryota; Metazoa; Arthropoda; Insecta; Lepidoptera; Plutellidae. The record is from RefSeq and is a predicted model, not a curated record.
UGCCAACAUUGUUCUGCACACCUCUCAAAUUACAGACACCGACACGGUUGAUCUGUCUCCGUACUGUCUGAAACUUGACCUAUUGUUGUUCUUGAUAUAAAAAUAGCUACAUUAUCUCAGCUACCGAGAACAAACAAACAACGUCAGCAGUUUACUGCAUUGUUCAAAUUUCCCGGUUUAUCGGUUGAGCUGGAGACAGUCUGUCGCGUGCCUCAGACGCGCGGCAAUCGUUACGUCGCCGGUCUGCAGCGCGCCGGGCAUGCGCAGAGCUGGCGCCACGGCUCGCGGCUAGUGAGGGAACUCCGGGCGUCCGGCAUCAGCCCCCGAGCGCACCGCCUCCGCGCCGCAGUCCUCCCGCCUUCCGCGCCGGCUAAACACGCUCACAGCCGCAUCAUGGUGAUGGAUAACGCACUAAUAGAAGAAAAUAAAAAUGAAGAGAAUUCAUCGAUAUUUGUUACGAAUUUUCAAAAUGGAGAAACAAUUACAUAUUCCUUGGCCCUUGUAAAAGGAAUUAUUACAAGAACAACUAACAGUCAAGAUAAAUUAGUUUGCAUAACUAAAAGAAAUGGAGUUCAAAAUAAAUCACACUGGGAUGUUAUCAACGGUGAAUUCAAAGUUCUUGUGGAACUAAACAGAGGAGGAAAUGAAAUUGAAUUUGAGUAUGAAAAUGGACAGCAACAUCGGACCCUAUUAUUGGAAUAUGCUCCAAGAAAAACGAACCUCCGAGUAACUCCAGUGUAUAUAGUUUGCCAGGGUCAUGAUGGUGGUUUUCAAUGCCCUCCAGACGUUAAUAACUCAAUUGAAAGUGCCUGUGCACGUAUAGCUAUUGGAGCCAAGCUUAUACAAAGCAUAACAGCAGAAAAAAUAAUGGAAAGUGGUUUUGGACGGAAGACGUUUCAACUAGAACACGAAAUAAACACAAAGAAACCAGAAUGCCACGUAUUUCGAAGUAACCUAAAUGUAAACAAGGCUAGAAAAAUGAAACAAUCUGAACUAUGGUCACAUUUCGGCCGCGAGCUAAUGCUAUCAGAUUUGGGGAGCAAUGAAAGAAAAUAUUUAGCUUUUAUAUCAUGCACUCGGUACAAAGGCACCGAUGUAAACAAACCAAUGACCCAUGAUGAAAUCGUAUCCAUGACUGAAGCCUACGCAGCCCUAGGAGGUGGCGGAUUAGCCCUCUUUGGAACAGCAUGUCUUUAUACGUGGCCUUCUUGUAUAGAGGAAAUUAUUCCAAAGUUUCUAAAUAUUACUCCGGUGAACAGCCUACGAUUUAUGGAUGACAGUGGGUAUCGAGGAACUCUUGGAGGAUGUUUUGCAACCACAUUGGGUUCAGUUUUCCAUGAGCUUGGUCACACGUUUGACUUAGGUCAUACAAAGGAUGGAAUCAUGGGAAGAGGGUUUGAUAAUUUAGAUCGAGUUUUUACAGUGGGUGACAAAAAAUCAACGAACAUUAAAGACAGUAUGAAUAAUUUUAGUGGUAAGCCUGUUCAACAUUCUACUGUUUCUCUUCAACGUAAUAUCAGUGUUACCAUGAAUGUAGCUGAGCCCAUGAGACUAUUAGGACCCAGGAGUAAAACCACCCUUGGGAAUUUUGUUUCCAUGUCUAAAUCUGACAUCAUACGACGAAGCCCGAAUGUAACACCAAUAACGAGGCCUUCUAGUGUAUACUCAAACAUAUCUAACAGAUUAUCGGAGUCUAAAAAAAAUAUCAACCGGAUGAAUGGCAACGAUCCAAUUUACUGGACAAGGAACUGCGCUGUGUUAUUAUCUUACCAUAGAUGGUUUAAUAACGAAUAUGGAAGAGAAAGACAAGCCAUAACCAGAUAUUUGAAAUUUGACAAAAACAAAAUGAUGAUAAUAUCAACAGCUGGAUUGAGAAUAGUUGAAGUGAGAGAUGAAUCAAGUGGCAUGGUUAUAGACUCAUACGAGUUCACAGACGUUCUACCUGAAAAAAGAUUUUUGCUUCCUUUUACAUUUUCACCUAAAAGUAAAGUGCUCACGAUAGUUGUAGAAGACGAUCUCGGAAAUGUGUUGAAACAAACAUUUUCUUACUGAAAGAACGCUGAAUAGUGGAGAUGACAAUAAAGUGGCAAUCAUUAAAAUAAGAAUACUUUAAUGUAAAUAGUACUAAAAUAUUUUUCCAUUGAUAGCAACAUAAUUCACGUUUAUACAACUGGCAACAAAAAUAUAUAUUUUGUUUAUCAGCUGUCAUGUGUCAACGUCAGCUGUUUUUUGUGUUCAAUGUUAUUUUAUCAGAAAAUUAACAAUUCGGCUACAUAAAUGCAAUGAUUUUAAUACGAGAUAACAAAAUCAGGGCAUUACACCGUAUUAAAUUCAGACCAGAAUUAAUAUUUUAAAAUGGCCUCUAAAUGUAACAAAAUUUCGUUUGAUAUAAACAAACAUUUUCCGAUUGAUAAUAAUAAUAAGAUAAACAUUGUUAAAUUUAUUGAAGCAACGUCGAACCUAGUUGGUGUAAUAGUAUUUUUUAAUUACAGACAAUUUUGGCAAACUCUUCACGCCUGUAAAGCUUGAUAUUCAAGGAAACAUUGAU